This is a small nucleolar RNA of Ochotona princeps (American pika), 104 nucleotides long. The record is from Ensembl. Lineage: Eukaryota; Metazoa; Chordata; Mammalia; Lagomorpha; Ochotonidae.
AUCCUAUCGUGGUCCAUAAGCGUGAUGAUUGGGUUUACACACAUCUGUGUGACAUGUGCCUCCCUUCAACCUUGUUACGUCAUGGGCACAUUACCUGUCUGAUG